GUACAAGCUUGGAGUAGACACCGACAGGUCGGGCUUCCUCCACUCCACACCUCCACUCUAUCUCUCUCAAUCUAGUAGAAACUAGAAGAUCUAUUUCUACCUUACAUUGAUUGCUAAGCCUAAAAAGAAAUAUUAAUUAGAGAAGAGGUUUUCCUUCGAGGGCACCCCUCAGUCUCUAUGAUAAUUUCUUCAUGUCUUCUCCAGGGGCCAGGGGGCCUUUCUUAUAUAGUCCUCCCCUUCUAUGCGUUUUUGGGUCGAUAGGCGAGGUGGUACUAUGUUUUUCCUUGAUCCAAUAGGUCGGUGGAAUAUCCCGAGCGAAGAGAGUCCUGAUCUGGCUCCAGAGGGGGGCGGGCGCCCAGGCUACCAGGGCGGGCGCCCUGGGCCUGGCCCAGUUUUGCCUCCGCUUCGGUCUCGUGGCUUCUGGAGUCUUCUAGAUGAUGUAAAAUUGCGCGGUGCGUUGAUAUCUCUAUGUAAUCCCGACAUGUGGGCCUUUCUUCCUUAUUUCCUGAUAACCCCCUGCAGAAACAGAUAAACAACAAAACUCGUGGAAUUCUGUCAGAUCAAACCCUAAUUCUAGGUGAUGGUUGCAUAUUGGUCCUUUCUCUUGUUUAUUUGAUAAUUAAAAUUGAUACUUAAGAACCAUCAACAAAUACCCCCAUACUUAGGCUUUUACUCGUCCUCGAGAAAAGGAUGGUUAAGAAAAAUAUCUGGGGUAAACAUUUAAAAACAUUCUUUAUAUAAUUGCAGGGUGUUAAAAAUUCACUGUGUACCAUAGUCAGGGAUGUAUAUGGUUAAGAGUAAAGAUCCUUUCUUCUCAAUCCUGCCACUUGGAGCUUUUGUAUAUUUUUGAAAGAAAGUUAGCAUACCUUUUUAUCCUCAUAGGUUCUCUCAGAUCACUCAUUAUCUUUUAUAUAUAUCUCACUGAGGCUGUUUUAUUUUGCAAAAAUUCUCAAGCAUACUUACUUUGCAUUUAUUGCCUGAUCAAAACGGGAUCCGAGGAGGGGAAUGUCAUAUUCUUAGAUCAAAGACUUUGGAAAUUAAAAACUUUGUCAACUCUUGCUGGCAUAUUGCUUAUUAGAGGGACCAUGGGCUAUCAUUUUUUUUUAAGUGGAUACCGAGGUACCCCUAAUUCUACUGCCGGACACUUGUCCAUUUUUCUGCGAGGUUGUCGAGCACUUGCUCCUUUUUAUUUCCUCGAAAUAUUUCUAUUUUUGCAUAGCCCAUGCCUCUAAUGCAAUAAUACUUCGGAAGAGUGAAUCUUACUGAAAUAAUGUCUUGAUCUUAGGAGCAUGAUAAAUCUCUCAACAAGGGUCUAACUCAUUUUGAACAAACUCAAUACAGAGCAGAUAGCUUUUAUAAUCAUAAUUAAUAUUUUCAGUUUUAUCAGGCAUAUGAAACACUGAGGAUGGUAGCUAGAAAUUUGAAUAUUUUGAAAUAAAUUCUCCAAGCAACAAUGAUAUCAAGAAUAAGAAACUCAUACUCUAUCAUCACAUAUUCCAAUUGACUUAAGUAACACAGGGUUUUAAAAUGAUUUUAUAAUAAUUGCAAGUUUUUAGGAAAUAUCACAGAUUGAGAUUAAUCAUGAUUAGAAAUAUUUUAAUCCUUUUAUUUUAUCAUGUCGGAAACAGUAAUCUGCAUAAUCCAGAAUAAAUGUAUGUGUAAAGUAAAGUGUGCAAAGUGUGUACCUGAAUUGAGGAGUGGUGUAGUCGGAGUGUGUUUAGCAUGUCGAGGGAUCUCCCCCAUACUUGUUUUCUGCUUUCUUGCACAAAAAUAAAGUAGAGACACACAAGACAUAAUAAUAAUAAUAAUAAUACUCUUUAUUAAACUCGAGGCAUUUAUUACAAAAGACUGAUGGCAAACUGAUGAUAAUAGCAAACUGAUGAUAAUUGCAAACCUAAACCGAAUUUAAAGAUAAAUAACUAAGAUGCAUUGCCUCAAAGUCUAAUCUAGAUAACUUAACGGCGCUCUAAUUCCUUGAUCUUCUUGUUGGCACUGGCAAGAUCCUGCCUAAGGCCUAGUAUAACGGUGUUGUGGUUAGAGAGCUGCCUAGUGAGGGAAUUAAUCGAGGACUGGAGGUCUAUGAUAACUCUAUCUAGCCUGCGAACUUCCUCAUCAAUAUCCAUUAUAGUCUUGCGACGCUUGGGAGGUGUCUCAAAAGCAUUGAGAGAGUGCUUCGGGGCUGCCUUUGGAGGGACGAAACGGACUUUGGUUGCUCUAAUCCCUUCAAAGUAAGGCCUUUCCUCCUCUAUGGUGUAGCGAAUACUGCUGAUCUCGCCGCUCCGGUUGGUCUUGACUCCAACGACCCUCUCAUUGGGUCUAGGUGGAAGGAUCCUUGUGUCGGUUGGCACCUUGAUGGUGGUCUUCGUCUUGGAUGAUGAUCCUGUGAGGAGUAGGGGUUGUGGUGGUGCGGUGAGAACUGGUUGAGCAUGGUAAGAUUGGGCGGAGCUACGUUGGCGUAAUGGCAUGGCUUCUAGCUGACGCUCUGUGUUGGCCGGGACGAGAGCACGGGCAUCGGGGUCUUCCACAGGCUCUAUGUUGAGGUUGAAGGGGACGACUUCCCAAUCAUCGUGGUACUUCUCGGCCAUUGGAAUAGCAAGGAACUAAUAAAAUUUUAAUUGAAGGAGAGCUAAUCAAGCUCUAAUUGAAGGAGAGAAAGCUCGGUGGCUUGGUGUUUGAAAACUGAGGUCAGGGGUCUGUUUAUAUAGGGGUCAAAAGGGUGCCUCUAUGGGUUGUUCGGGUUACUCCCAUCGAUGUGCGUGCAAAACUUUCCAUCUGAGGGAUUAUUCGGAUCACCCUAAGUGCAUUUUCCAUAACAGAGAAAGUCAGGACCGAGAGGGAACAGGGGCUGGGCGCCCGCCCUCUCUCUGGCCCCUCUGUGGGCCCACUUCUCCGAGCGUGUUUCUAGAUGCGAAAUUAUUUAGAAAAAUAUAUAUAUGACCCAAAACCAUCAGACCAAAAAUAUCGGGCUCUAAUUCUCCAUGGGAAGGUAAAAAUGGACUACGUCUAUUUCUUCAAAUUCCUCAUUGGGCUCUAAAAAUAAUUUAAGACGUUGACCAUUUACCUUGAAUAACGUACCUUCGCUAUUUUGAAGUGUGAUAGCUCCGUGGGAUGAUGAAUUGAUUACCUUGAAUGGUCCUUCCCAUUUGCUCCGGAGUUUUCCAUGCCCGAAAAGCUUCACCCUGGAAUUAAAAAUUAAUACCUUAUCUCCGGGUGUGAACUCCUUCUUCUUGAUUCUCUUGUCAUGCCACCUUUUGACUCUUUCUUUGUAGAUUUUUGAAUUGUGAUAUGCCUUCUCUCGCCAUUCUUCCAAUUCUGAUAGUUGCAUUCUUCUAUAAUCUCCAGCAACAUCCGGGUCCAUAUUCCAUCUCUUUAUGGCCCAAUGUGCUUUGAACUCUAGUUCAACAGGUAGAUGGCAAGUCUUCCCGUACACCAAUUGGUAUGGAGACAUUCCAAUUGGGGUCUUGUAUGCUGUCUGGUAUGCCCAGAGUGCAUCGGGUAACUUGUCUUUCCACGCCGUUCCCAUUUCAUUUACUGUCUUCUGAAGAAUAUUCUUGAUUUGUUUGUUGGAAGUCUCUGCUUGGCCACUUGUCUGAGGAUGAUAAGGGGUAGCGACGUUGUGACGGAUUCCAUGUCUUGAUAGAUAUUGCUUGAAGCGUUUGUCGAUGAAGUGUGCUCCUCCAUCACUUAUCACUACUCUGGGGACUCCAAAUCUUGGAAAUAUAAUUUCUUCAAACAUCCUCUUUGAACUGACGUUGUCGGCAUGCUUGCAAGGUAAUGCUUCUACCCACUUGGAGACAUAGUCAACUGCCACCAAGAUGUACUCACACUUCUUUGAUGGAGGAAAUGGACCCAUGUAGUCUAUUCCCCAGACAUCAAAGAGCUCAAUCUGAAGGUUGUUGGUGAGUGGCAUUGCAUCCCUUGUAUUUAUGUUUUCGUGCCUUUGACAUGGCCCACAUCUUCUGAUAUAUUGCUUCGUGUCUUCAUACAUUGUAGGCCAAUAGAAUCCACACUGCCAGAUUUUUGAAUGUGUACGGAAUGCUCCAUAGUGACCUCCAUAUGGUGAUGAAUGACAUCUGUCGAUGAUCUUCCAUCCUUCCUCAGUGGUCACACAUCUCCUGAGUAAGCCGUCAGAGCAUACUCGGAAGAGGUAUGGCUCAUCCCAUAUAUGUGAACGACUUUCUUGAAUAAGCUUCUUCUUGUUUGCUCCUGGUGGUACAUACCCUGAAACCAUAAAAUUAACAAUAUCUGCAUACCAGGGGUCAGACCUGUUAAUCCCGUAGAGCAUGUCGUCCCGGAGUGAAUCAUUGAUGGGGGUUUCCUGUGGACUCUUAAAAUACAUUCUAGACAAGUGAUCAGCAACAGAAUUUUCUACUCCCUUUUUAUCUUUUAUUUCUAAGUCAAAUUCUUGGAGUAAUAAAAUCCAUCUAAUCAAGCGAGGUUUAGCAUCUUUUUUAGUGAGCAAAUAUUUUAGUGCAGCAUGAUCAGUGUAAACAAUUAUUUUAGCUCCGACUAAAUAAGAUCUAAAUUUAUCUAUGGCAAAGACAACAGCCAGAAGCUCUUUUUUCAGUGGUUGCAUAAUUAAGUUGAGCUCCUGUCAGAGUUUUACUGGCAUAAGCAAUUGCAUGAUGCUUCUUAUCUUUAGUUUGUCCCAAUACUGUCCCCACAGCAUAAUCACUAGCAUCACACAUAAUUUCAAAAGGCAACGACCAAUCAGGGGGUUGAAUGAUUGGUGCAGAGAUGAGUGCUUUCUUUAAUAAAUUAAAAGAUGUUAGACAUGCAUCAUCAAAUUCGAAAGGAGCAUCCUUGGCUAGCAAAAGAGUAAGUGGUCUAGCAAUAAAUGAAAAAUCUUUUAUGAAUCUACGAUAAAAACCAGCAUGGCCAAGAAAGCUUCGAAGUCCUUUUAUAUUCACAGGUGGAGGUAGUUGUUCAAUUACUUCAAUUUUGGCUUUGUCUACCUCAAUACCUCUUUCAGACACUAAGUGUCCCAGCACUAUUCCUUCCCUAACCAUAAAAUGACAUUUUUCCCAAUUAAGGAUUAAGUGCUUUUCUUCACAUCUUUGCAAAACCUUGUCUAAGUUUUCAAGACAACUAUCAAAAGUUUUUCCAUAAACAGAGAAAUCAUCCAUGAAAACUUCCAUAAUCUCUUCAAUCAUAUCAGAAAAUAUAGACAUCAUGCAUCUUUGAAAAGAAGCUGGUGCAUUACAUAACCCAAAAGACAUUCUACGGUAAGCAUAAGUUCCAUAAGGGCAUGUAAAAGUGGUUUUGCUUUGAUCAUCGGGAUGGAUCGGGAUUUGGUGAUAUCCUGAGUAUCCAUCUAAGAAACAGAAUAACGAAUGGUUUGCUAACCGCUCUAGCAUCUCAUCUAUAAAAGGUAAAGGAAAGUGAUCCUUUCUCGUGGCUUUAUUUAGUUUUCUAUAGUCUAUGCACAUCCGCCAUCCUGUGACGGUGCGUUGCGGAAUUAGCUCAUUCUUUUCAUUCAUAAUAACUGUCAUGCCUCCCUUUUUGGGCACAACUUGUACUGGGCUCACCCACUCACUGUGCGGCACAGGAUAUAUAAUCCCUGCAUGCAGCAGCUUUAUAACUUUCUUUUUAACUACCUCUCUCAUAGUGUUGUUAAGUCUACGUUGGGGUUCUCGAGAGGGUGUAACAGAAGGAUCUGUUGGAAUACGAUGUGUACAAAUCAUAGGACUGAUUCCUGUAAGAUCUUGAAGUGAAUAGCCAAAAACCGAGUGAUGUUUCUCAAGGAUGGUCAUUAAUCGCAGAGUUUGAUCCUGAGUGAGUUUAUCGCUAAUGAUCACAGGGAACUCUGGAUUAUUGUUUAGGAAAGCAUAGGUAAGACCGGGUGGUAAAGUUUUAAGUUCUAUGGGGGGGUCUAGGUGUUUCUGCAAACUCAUCUAAGGGUUCAGGCUCAGAAGGUUCGUCUUCUUCUUCAGUGAAGAAAGGAGUUUCGUCUUCUAAGUCUGGUUCAUCUAAAAGCUCUAGAGAUGCAGCCUUUACUUCCUCCAUAGGAUCAGGCAAAAGAUAUGACUCGGCCUUAUUGUUUAAGGAGUGUGAAAUUAUUAUUGGGAAUUUAAAGGUUUUUCCAAAAGAAAUGUGUAGCUUUCCAGUAUGACCUUCAUAAAGGAGUCUUCUAAAAGGUUGUCCUAUCAACAGGUCGAAGUCCCAUGUAUCAAAGAUAUAGAAGUUCAAAUGAACCAUGGAGCCUUCUACCGUAAGAGGUAGGAUAUUAAUAAUUCCAAGACUGGGGACUAAUCGUCCCGAAGAUUCCUUUAUGACCUUUGUUGUGGGGGUUAAGAUAAGAUUUUUAAAUAGUUUAAGUGCAAAUGAUUUAGACAUAAUGUUGAUCCCCACAACAGGAUUAUAGAGAGCAUUAAAUCGAUCAGAAUUAUAAGCACAACGUAUAGUUAUAGAGGGUGUGUCCAAACGGAUCACAUCAGAGGAAAGCUCUGAUUCCUCCAACCAUUCGCUACUCAUUACUGAGAUAAGCUCUCUCAAUUGAUAUUCACUUGGCAAAUAAAUGCUAAACUGGCCGUUUUGGGGUUUGUCAAUAGAAUGGUAGUUUGAAAUAUUUCCAAAAUCGGCAAAAAGAUCGGAUUCUAUAUCCAGCAUGAAGUCCGGUGGUGGAAUUUCUUCCUCUUGUGGCUCAGAACUUGGGAUAGCUAAAGUAGAUGAAGAAUUUGGCAAAGUGUCUACUUCGUCUUCGUAGGUUUCAUCAUGAAGGGUAUUAUCCAUCUCAGCUUCUAGGAUUCUAUCUAGGAUCACUCUAGCUUCAUCAGCAGGGAUGCGAAAGAAAGAACCUCUAGACAUUGUGUGAAGCAUUUGUUUGUGAUUUUUAUGAAGACCUCGAAAAAAGUGGAAUAAAAGAACAGGGUCUUCAAGAUUAAGGUUUGGACCAGAUUCUAAAAGAUCAGAAAAACGUUUCCAGGAUUUUCCCAAAGUUUCAUUAUCUUUUUGUUUAAAAGAUAGGACUCCGAGUCUAAGGUCGGCUAUACGAUCAAGGGAAUAGAAAUCUAGACAAAAGUUGGCUCGUAAAACUCCCCAUUCACCUUGUUGUUGACUUACCUUCUGACUGUACCAUUGUCUAGCUUCUCCCCUUAAAGAAAAAGGAAAAAGCUUCCAACGUAAAGUCUUAUCAGAAAUGCCUUCAAUGCGAAGACAAUCACAUGUUUGCUCAAAAUCUCUAAUAUGAAGGUAAGGGUUUUCGUCUUCCUUUCCCGAAAAAGAUAGGUUUUGAAUCAUGGCAAUCAACCUAGAACUUAACUUAUACUGGGAUGUUUGGAUAGGCUGUGAUGAUUCCCAUGGUAAAAGGUCAGUUGCUAAAGGGAUUGCAGACUCAUGGAUCGAUUUAGAAUUUUGGUUUUCCAUAAGGUAAGAAUAAAGAAAAUAAAUAAAGGAUAUAAAACAUAAGAAAAGAUAAAAGUAUAGAUACAAGCUAGUAGCAAGACACAGGUUAUCUCAGCAACCGUCUUUCUCCCCGGCAACGGCGCCAGAAAUGCUUUUUGAUAUUUGGGAACGCAAUAAGGAAUUGAUCCGCAAGCGCACGGAUAUCGGUGAGCACUUCACCCGAGAAAUUAUCCAGAGUAUCGUAUUUAUUUUUUUACCACUAGGAGAAAGAGUGCAUCUAACUAACCGGUCUAUUACUACUAACCUUUAGGCACAAAGAAUGUCUUUCGAUGUGAGUGAUAAAUAGAGAAGACUGCAACCGUAGUCUCCUUCUAACCUUGGUAAGGAUGAUCUACUGUUUCUAAUGGGGAGGCUAACGGAAUCUAGACACCACAAAGGAUGUUCAACCCGCACCUAUAAACCCUAUCCUUCCUACUAACGAGAUGUGAUCUACAAAGGUAGCUCGGAAUUGUCACGUUCCUCACUACUACCACGGUCCAGCUAGUCAGGGAAUAUCUAUGAGUACCCCAGCCUAAACACCACAUUUACGCUAGUAAUGAUUACUCUAAACUCUACGCGAAGAUAUUAAAGUAAACUCAUAAACCAUAAGAACAAUAAAACAAGAACUUACUAGAAUUUAGAAGUCGAAUUACUGAAGAAUCCUAGGAGCAAGCUUCGGGUUAGGAGAACUUGAUCUCGCAGGUACAAGCUUGGAGUAGACACCGACAGGCCGGGCUUCCUCCACUCUACACCUCCACUCUAUCUCUCUCAAUCUAGUAGAAACUAGAAGAUCUAUUUCUACCUUACAUUGAUUGCUAAGCCUAAAAAGAAAUAUUAAUUAGAGAAGAGGUUUUCCUUCGAGGGCACCCCUCAGUCUCUAUGAUAAUUUCUUCAUGUCUUCUCCAGGGGCCAGGGGGCCUUGCUUAUAUAGUCCUCCCCUUCUAUGCGUUUUUGGGUCGAUAGGCGAGGUGGUACUAUGUUUUUCUUGAUCCAAUAGGUCGGUGGAAUAUCCCGAGCGAAGAGAGUCCUGAUCUGGCUCCAGAGGGGGGCGGGCGCCCAGGCUACCAGGGCGGGCGCCCUGGGCCUGGCCCAGUUUCGCCUCCGCUUCGGUCUCGUGGCUUCUGGAGUCUUCUAGAUGAUGUAAAAUUGCGCGGUGCGUUGAUAUCUCUAUGUAAUCCUGACAUGCGGGCCUUUCUUCCUUAUUUCCUGAUAACCCCCUGCAGAAACAGAUAAACAACAAAACUCGUGGAAUUCUGUCAGAUCAAACCCUAAUUCUAGGUGAUGGUUGCAUAUUGGUCCUUUCUCUUGUUUAUUUGAUAAUUAAAAUUGAUACUUAAGAACCGUCAACAAUGAUGGUAAUAACAAUGGAGAAAGUCUAAUUCUACUUUUGCUCUUUUGAGGGGGUACAUACCUUUCUUGCUCUUUUGAAACUUUUUGAGGAGAAUGAGAUGCUCUAUGUUUUCUUUUUCUCUCACGUGGGUAUCUUGUACCCCUAAUUCUACUAUCGGACACUUGUCCAUUUUUACCUCUCGUCUCACUUUUUCUUUCUUUCGAGGUUCCGGGCACUUGCCCCUUUUUAUUUCCUCGCAUUCUUUCUUUUUUUCUUUCUUUUUUAGAGCACUCAUCUCCUGAAAUAAUAUAGCAAGUGGUAGUAACCAAGAUAACUUGAGCAUUUUUUUCACAGGGAAAAACAGAAAUAGGAGAAUGUUUUUGGCUAUUCUCUCCCGGAUUAGGAGUAGAAUAUUUUUGGGUGGUUCUGGAGAUGGAAAUGGAUGGAUAUAUGUGGAUGGUACUUCUGGAGUAGAAGUAGCAUGUGUGAGUGAACGUGCAAGUGAAUCUUGAUUUAACCACAUGACAAGCUCCUAAGGGUCUACACAGCUUGACCACACUCAAUGCUCAUAAGCAGUAAAGUAAAUGUACGGUUCAAAGUCUAGCAAGCAUGUAUAUAUGGCUGUGGUAGGAAUUUAAACUCUCAUCAUACAGGAACUCAUCAUGCAACAUUUUAAAGAUUUUCAAAGAUAAAUUUCUCCAGAUUUCUAGCAUCUCUAGGAACAGAUAAACAACAGCUCAACCUUCCCAUAUCAUAUCCGUUAACGACUUAGACUUUAGAUCAAGUACUCUCCCCACAAGUUCAGGUUUAGAGCAAAUCUUAAUUAAUAUCAGUCAUUCCUAAACUUGAGAGAGAUUUCAAUUUUGAGAACUAGUCAUGGCAGAGCAACUAUUCAUCAUUUCCAUGUGAGAGCUUAUCAUGAGGGUUCAUAGCAAACUUUACUUAUUUAUUUAUUUAGCAAACUAAGCAAAGAUAUAUAUAUAUAUAUAUAAGCACAAAAUCUUUAUUUGGGUUUUUAUGAUUAUGCAUCUUUUUAUUAUUUGAGUAAAGUAUAAACAUGAGUAGAACACUUAGCUGGAUAAAUGGGGGUGAUCUCCCCCAAGCUGGAUUUUGAUGUAAUUUCUUCUGAUGUAACCAGCAGGUGGCGGAGGUGUAUUUGAAUGUCGGCAGUACCCUGACAGCGAUUAGGAUAUCCUUCGUCUGCUAGUCUUCUUUGAUCCUUGAUUUCUGUGGAGCUCAAAUAGACAACAAAGCUUUGUGGAACUAGUUAAGUGUUAGCAUAAAUAUCUAGCCUUUAUCAUGUUGAGCCUCAUCAAUAGAUAUUACUCUCUUUAGUAGGAUCACAAUCUUAUUUUUAUAUUUUUAUGUUUAUAGGACAGGAAUAUAUCUAUUUUAUUUCUAUGCCACCAUAGUGAAUGUACUUAUGGGUUUUAUGCCAUGAGCAUACUCACAUGGGGCUUACUAUUUUUAACAUUUUUAUUUUCUUUUCAAGAUGAUAUGAACCUGAUUAACUAAGCAAACUAUUUUAAAAUAAUUGAAAGGAAAGGGAUAACUACCAAGUUUACCUCUUGGCAAGGCGUUCGGUGUUUUUAAGUCCUCCGAACGGGACUCUCCGUUUCCUCAUUUGUCGUGGGAUUCGCUGGAUGGCGUAGUCGGUGGUUCCGGCAGUGCCUCCUCUUCGUGUAUAACUAUCUUCUUUCUCCACACCUGACUCGGUGCUACGGUCUUCUCAGGACAGUUCUGUUCAAGCUGUAUGUCUUCAGACCUUACAACUUCUCCUUCAUAGUCUGCCCAUCCGUCCUUGAUGAUUUGCCUCCUCUGGUUGCGGUUGCGUCGUCUUCUUCUUGCCCUGGCCUGCUUAGAGUCUUCAACUAUAUAGUUAGGGUCAGUAAAAUAGCGGCGUACCUUCUCAGAGGGGAAGUGCAUGUGGACUUCUUUGGUUCCAAUGUAGAUGAUUGCUUUAACGGUGCUGAGGAACGGUCUCCUAAGGAUGAUGGAUGGAUCGUACUUGUCUUCUCCCAUGUCAAUAACCUUAAAAUCAUCUGGAGCUGAAUGUAUGUUGGUUGUAGGGACAUGGUUCCAUGUAGGAGCUGAUAAGUGACUGCGGCCAUUAUGUUGACGUCAGAUCUUGUGUCGUAGAGUGUCUUCUGAACAGAAUAUCUGUUUAUUUGUGCACUCGAUGCUUGAAACACCAGGGUCAUCCUUUUUGGUUAGAACGGGUGAUUUAAGUCGACAAUCUUGAUCUCCUUGAACUGCAGUGACCAUCUUAGCUGACUCGGUCCACAUUUGCUUGUUCCUGUUCCUCCUAUUGGUCCUCUUCCCUUGGUUCAUGUCAGGAUUGCUCUGAGAUUUGUGUAGUCUUGUUCUUGAAGGAAAACGUCUCUUGCCUCCCCUUGAUAUAGAAACUG
RNAcentral lists this long non-coding RNA (11121 nucleotides) under Sorghum bicolor (sorghum). RNAcentral's name for it is "long non-coding RNA (SBIC_LNC010634)". Lineage: Eukaryota; Viridiplantae; Streptophyta; Magnoliopsida; Poales; Poaceae. The record is from RNAcentral.